CCUACGGGAGGCAGCAGUAAGGAAUAUUGGUCAAUGGACGAAAGUCUGAACCAGCCAUGCCGCGUGAAGGAUUAAGGCCCUCUGGGUUGUAAACUUCUUUUAUCUGGGACGAAAAAAGGGUAUUCUUACUCACUUGACGGUACCAGAGGAAUAAGCACCGGCUAACUCCGUGCCAGCAGCCGCGGUAAUACGGAGGGUGCAAGCGUUAUCCGGAUUUACUGGGUUUAAAGGGUGCGUAGGUGGGUUUGUAAGUCAGUGGUGAAAUCUCCGAGCUUAACUCGGAAACUGCCAUUGAUACUAUAGAUCUUGAAUUAUCUGGAGGUAAGCGGAAUAUGUCAUGUAGCGGUGAAAUGCUUAGAUAUGACAUAGAACACCAAUUGCGAAGGCAGCUUACUACGGAUAUAUUGACACUGAGGCACGAAAGCGUGGGGAUCAAACAGGAUUAGAUACCCUGGUAGUCCACGCCCUAAACGAUGGAUACUCGACAUCAGCGAUACACUGUUGGUGUCUGAGCGAAAGCAUUAAGUAUCCCACCUGGGAAGUACGAUCGCAAGAUUGAAACUCAAAGAGUAUUAGCGNGNGAGAGNGACGACGACGACGACGGAGGGAGGAGG
RNAcentral lists this ribosomal RNA (614 nucleotides) under uncultured bacterium. RNAcentral's name for it is "bacterial SSU rRNA". It matches the Rfam family "Bacterial small subunit ribosomal RNA", at positions 338 to 951 of the family's 1533-position model. The record is from RNAcentral.